CUCCUUCAGUGGCAGUAUCGUAGCCAAUGAGGUUUAUCCAAGGCGCGAUUAUUGCUAAUUUAAAAAAUCUCUGAGAAGUAAAUGUUCUUUUCCAGGAUUUAAUACCCACAGAAGU
This is a small nuclear RNA of Neogale vison (American mink), 115 nucleotides long. Its record names the gene U4. It matches the Rfam family "U4 spliceosomal RNA". Rfam says of the family: U4 small nuclear RNA (U4 snRNA) is a component of the major U2-dependent spliceosome. The record is from Ensembl. NCBI's taxonomy places the organism in Eukaryota, Metazoa, Chordata, Mammalia, Carnivora, Mustelidae.